AUCCGGCGCGAUCGUCAGCAGUUCGUCUGGAACGUGGCGGGUUGCUUCGAGAUGAUUUCCAAAGC
RNAcentral lists this small RNA (65 nucleotides) under Sinorhizobium meliloti 2011. RNAcentral's name for it is "putative ncRNA". Lineage: Bacteria; Pseudomonadati; Pseudomonadota; Alphaproteobacteria; Hyphomicrobiales; Rhizobiaceae. The record is from RNAcentral.